UACGUAGGUGACAAGCGUUGUCCGGAUUUACUGGGCGUAAAGAGCGCGCAGGCGGUCGUUCAAGUCGAGUGUGAAAGCCCCUGGCUCAACUGGGGAGGGUCAUUCGAUACUGAUCGACUCGAAGGCAGGAGAGGGUAGUGGAAUUCCCGGUGUAGUGGUGAAAUGCGUAGAUAUCGGGAGGAACACCAGUGGCGAAGGCGACUACCUGGCCUGUUCUUGACGCUGAGGCGCGAAAGCUAGGGGAGCAAACGGG
This 253-nucleotide ribosomal RNA is filed under the name uncultured bacterium. RNAcentral describes it as "partial 16S ribosomal RNA". It matches the Rfam family "Bacterial small subunit ribosomal RNA", at positions 524 to 776 of the family's 1533-position model. The record is from RNAcentral.